RNAcentral lists this ribosomal RNA (484 nucleotides) under uncultured bacterium. Its description in RNAcentral is "partial 16S ribosomal RNA". It matches the Rfam family "Bacterial small subunit ribosomal RNA", at positions 30 to 507 of the family's 1533-position model. The record is from RNAcentral.
AUUGAACGCUGGCGGCAGGCCUAACACAUGCAAGUCGAGCGGAUGAAGGGAGCUUGCUCCUGGAUUCAGCGGCGGACGGGUGAGUAAUGCCUAGGAAUCUGCCUGGUAGUGGGGGAUAACGUCCGGAAACGGGCGCUAAUACCGCAUACGUCCUGAGGGAGAAAGUGGGGGAUCUUCGGACCUCACGCUAUCAGAUGAGCCUAGGUCGGAUUAGCUAGUUGGUGGGGUAAAGGCCUACCAAGGCGACGAUCCGUAACUGGUCUGAGAGGAUGAUCAGUCACACUGGAACGUAGACACGGUCCAGACUCCUACGGGAGGCAGCAGUGGGGAAUAUUGGACAAUGGGCGAAAGCCUGAUCCAGCCAUGCCGCGUGUGUGAAGAAGGUCUUCGGAUUGUAAAGCACUUUAAGUUGGGAGGAAGGGCAGUAAGUUAAUACCUUGCUGUUUUGACGUUACCAACAGAAUGAGCACCGGCUAACUUCGUG